Long non-coding RNA from Toxotes jaculatrix (banded archerfish), 146 nucleotides. RefSeq lists it as uncharacterized. NCBI's taxonomy places the organism in Eukaryota, Metazoa, Chordata, Actinopteri, Toxotidae. The record is from RefSeq and is a predicted model, not a curated record. The transcript has 3 exons.
AUCAUGUCUUGCGAGACACAGUGUCCUGUUACUCUCCACAAACCUCAAUGUCAGGACUAUUUCCUCAAUAGAAAGUAGGUCCAAAGGAAACUGUUCACAGUGUGUUCUGUAGUUUGUUUUGAAAAACACAUACACUGUUUCCGUGA